GGAUGCGAUCAUACCAGCACCAAGCACCGGAUCCCAUCAGAACUCCGAAGUUAAGCGUGCUUGGGCGAGAGUAGUACUAGGAUGGGUGACCUCCUGGGAAGUCCUCGUGUUGCAUUCC
Molecule: ribosomal RNA, 118 nt
Filed under: Aegilops tauschii subsp. strangulata
Lineage: Eukaryota; Viridiplantae; Streptophyta; Magnoliopsida; Poales; Poaceae
Source: RNAcentral